This 798-nucleotide ribosomal RNA is filed under the name uncultured Glomeromycotina. RNAcentral describes it as "SSU rRNA". It matches the Rfam family "Eukaryotic small subunit ribosomal RNA", at positions 314 to 1114 of the family's 1831-position model. The record is from RNAcentral. Lineage: Eukaryota; Fungi; Glomeromycota.
AUCAACUUUCGAUGGUAGGAUAGAGGCCUACCAUGGUGGUAACGGGUAACGGGGUGUUAGGGCACGACACCGGAGAGGGAGCCUGAGAAACGGCUACCACAUCCAAGGAUGGCAGCAGGCGCGCAAAUUAUCCAAUCCCGACACGGGGAGGUAGUGACAAUAAAUAACAAUACAGGGUUCUUUCGGAUCUCGUAAUUGGAAUGAGUACAAUUUAAAUCUCUUAACGAGGAACAAUUGGAGGGCAAGUCUGGUGCCAGCAGCCGCGGUAAUUCCAGCUCCAAUAGCGUAUAUUAAAGUUGUUGCAGUUAAAAAGCUCGUAGUUGAAUUUCGGGGUUAGUAAGUUGGUCAUGCCUUUGGUAUGCACUGGCUUUACUGAUUCCUCCUUCUUGACGAACCGUGAUGUCAUUAAUUUGGUGUUGUGGGAAAUCAGGACUGUUACUUUGAAAAAAUUAGAGUGUUUAAAGCAGGCUAACGCUUGAAUACAUUAGCAUGGAAUAAUGAAAUAGGACGUUAAUCCUAUUUUGUUGGUUUCUAGGAUCGACGUAAUGAUUAAUAGGGAUAGUUGGGGGCAUUAGUAUUCAAUUGUCAGAGGUGAAAUUCUUGGAUUUAUUGAAGACUAACUACUGCGAAAGCAUUUGCCAAGGAUGUUUUCAUUAAUCAAGAACGAAAGUUAGGGGAUCGAAGACGAUCAGAUACCGUCGUAGUCUUAACCAUAAACUAUGCCGACUAGGGAUCGGAUGAUGUUAAUUUUUUAAUGACUCAUUCGGCGCCUUACGGGAAACCAAAGUGUUUGGGUUC